Molecule: long non-coding RNA, 684 nt
Organism: Ctenopharyngodon idella (grass carp)
Lineage: Eukaryota; Metazoa; Chordata; Actinopteri; Cypriniformes; Xenocyprididae
Exons: 3
Source: RefSeq, a predicted model, not a curated record
UUCUAAUGAUUCCUGAUGUUUAUUAAAUGUGAGUUCAUCAUUCUUCUGUGCCAAGCCCCUCUGUUUGGAUUAUCACAUCAAGCCAGCGCGUGACAGCUCUGUUUAGUUCUGGUCUGUUUGGUCAGCUGGACAAGUGAGUUGUGAUUGGAAAUGUCACACCCCUUACUAUAAUCAUCAAUUUACUGAAGAAAGGCCAAUUCACUGAAAAGAAGGAAAAAUGUUUCUCGGGUCAGUAACGCUUUUGGUUCUCACUGAAAUAACUUUUGAAAAAUCACACUCACCUCUGUGGCAUUCAGGAAACUUGCACAUUGUUGGACCAAUGACAGGCAGAGGCACUGUUUGGCAAACCUGUUUGAAAACAGUUGCCAUUUCUGAAACUGCUGUGUCGGAUUGGGAAUUUUGGAUAUGUUGUACUGAUGUUAUGGGUAAUCUGUGUUUGUUUCUGUUUUGGGUGGGUUUGAUGUGUUAGUUCAGUUUCCUGUAUGUCUGUGUUUGUUACCAUGGUUUUUCAUUGAUUGAUUUAGUUAUACACAUGUGACUUUUGUUUAUUGGUUAGUUUGUUCUAUUUAAGCCCUGUGUUUUGUUCAGUUCAUCAUCUGUUUUCGUCUCAUAUUGCUGGUCUGUUUUUAUCUGGAGUUUCUCUGUUAUUUUGAGUUUGUAAAUAAACUGUGACUGCUGCAAUUA